Molecule: ribosomal RNA, 253 nt
Filed under: uncultured bacterium
Lineage: Bacteria
Description: partial 16S ribosomal RNA
Rfam family: Bacterial small subunit ribosomal RNA
Source: RNAcentral
UACAGAGGUCCCAAGCGUUGUUCGGAUUCACUGGGCGUAAAGGGUGCGUAGGCGGUCGGAUAAGUCUGGCGUGAAAUCUCCAAGCCUAACUUGGAAACUGCGUUGGAUACUAUCCGGCUCGAGGAAUGGAGGGGAGACUGGAAUACUUGGUGUAGCAGUGAAAUGCGUAGAUAUCAAGUGGAACACCAGUGGCGAAGGCGAGUCUCUGGACAUUUCCUGACGCUGAGGCACGAAAGCCAGGGGAGCAAACGGG